GAGUUUGAUCCUGGCUCAGAUUGAACGCUGGCGGCAGGCCUAACACAUGCAAGUCGAGCGGAUGACGGGAGCUUGCUCCUUGAUUCAGCGGCGGACGGGUGAGUAAUGCCUAGGAAUCUGCCUGGUAGUGGGGGACAACGUUUCGAAAGGAACGCUAAUACCGCAUACGUCCUACGGGAGAAAGCAGGGGACCUUCGGGCCUUGCGCUAUCAGAUGAGCCUAGGUCGGAUUAGCUAGUUGGUGGGGUAAUGGCUCACCAAGGCGACGAUCCGUAACUGGUCUGAGAGGAUGAUCAGUCACACUGGAACUGAGACACGGUCCAGACUCCUACGGGAGGCAGCAGUGGGGAAUAUUGGACAAUGGGGGAAACCCUGAUCCAGCAACGCCGCGUGAGUGAUGAAGGCCUUGGGUCGUAAAGCUCUGUUGUAGAGGGAAGAAUAGGGUCGUCGUAACAAACGACUUUAGACGUUACCUCUUGUAGGAAGCACCGGCUAACUCUGUGCCAGCAGCCGCCGUAA
Molecule: ribosomal RNA, 518 nt
Filed under: uncultured Gammaproteobacteria bacterium
Lineage: Bacteria; Pseudomonadati; Pseudomonadota; Gammaproteobacteria
Description: bacterial SSU rRNA
Rfam family: Bacterial small subunit ribosomal RNA
Source: RNAcentral